Long non-coding RNA from Triticum dicoccoides, 951 nucleotides. RefSeq lists it as uncharacterized. The transcript has 2 exons. Lineage: Eukaryota; Viridiplantae; Streptophyta; Magnoliopsida; Poales; Poaceae. The record is from RefSeq and is a predicted model, not a curated record.
GCGCGCAGUGCACAAGUAGGCGGCGGCGAGGGGCUCCUCCGUGGCCAUGUUCCCAACGAGGCACACCAGUUGCGCGUUCGGCACGCCCUACGCCCUGCCGCGGAGCUGGAGGCACGCCGAGUUGAAGCCUUCCAUGCCUAGCGCCGCCGCAUCCGGGAGCAUGUCCGCCAGUUUCCACAGCUCGUCCGCCGGCUUGAGCAGCGGCAGCAUGUCCUCCAGCUUCCACAACACGCUGCCGGCUUGAGCAGCGGCAGCAUGUGCGCCUCCGCCCAUGGCUCCAGCUGCUGCAGCACCUCUAGCCUCUCCGACGCAAGGGUGAAUUGUGUGGGGGCACAGAGAUGCGCCUGGUCGGUGUGUAUGCAGUGAAGAUGUUGACAUAGGGCCUUGAUUUUUGGUGUGACAGUACGAGGUAACAGUGAGUGUUAAUUUUGGAGGUCUUCUUAAUUCUGUGAUUUAUGAUAAUGUGAGUAGAUCACAUCAGUUAUUAUUGGAGCCUCUUAUUAUUGUGUGAAUUGUUGAUUAACAAGGUGAGAGGACUUGUGGUUAUGUCAAAUGGAUCGACAAACCAUGGCAGGGAAGAGAGAGAAGUGUGAUUGUUGAUCUUGCUGGGAAGAAAGACGUUCUGGACAAGAAGCUGAAGGAGAAAGAUGGUGACAUAGAAGCUGCGAAGUAGAAGUAGAGAAUGGAGAAGAGAUUGACUGCAAGAAUGAUAGAGAUCGGUUGCUAUCCAGAGAUAGGAUGAUAAUGUGUGCUAUAUUUGUGUAUUUAAGUUUAGUCACAAUGCAAUGCAAUGGCAGGUCCUGAUGCAUUUUGUGUUAAGGUAUUUUGGUUUAGUCGAGAGAAAACUGGUACGUCGAUGAACUCAAUGAGAUGUACUACUGAAAUGUUGGUCUGGUUAGUGAAUGAAAAUGACAAUUCGAGAAGUUCUCUUUCCUGUACCAAUUUUUGACA